This 871-nucleotide ribosomal RNA is filed under the name uncultured bacterium. RNAcentral describes it as "bacterial SSU rRNA". It matches the Rfam family "Bacterial small subunit ribosomal RNA", at positions 51 to 935 of the family's 1533-position model. The record is from RNAcentral.
ACACAUGCAAGUCGAACGAGCGAGAGAGAGCUUGCUUUCUCGAGCGAGUGGCGAACGGGUGAGUAACGCGUGAGGAACCUGCCUCAAAGAGGGGGACAACAGUUGGAAACGACUGCUAAUACCGCAUAAGCCCACGGCUCGGCAUCGAGCAGAGGGAAAAGGAGCAAUCCGCUUUGAGAUGGCCUCGCGUCCGAUUAGCUAGUUGGUGAGGUAAUGGCCCACCAAGGCGACGAUCGGUAGCCGGACUGAGAGGUUGAACGGCCACAUUGGGACUGAGACACGGCCCAGACUCCUACGGGAGGCAGCAGUGGGGAAUAUUGCACAAUGGGGGAAACCCUGAUGCAGCGACGCCGCGUGGAGGAAGAAGGUCUUCGGAUUGUAAACUCCUGUUGUUGAGGAAGAUAAUGACGGUACUCGACAAGGAAGUGACGGCUAACUACGUGCCAGCAGCCGCGGUAAAACGUAGGUCACAAGCGUUGUCCGGAAUUACUGGGUGUAAAGGGAGCGCAGGCGGGAAGACAAGUUGGAAGUGAAAUCUAUGGGCUCAACCCAUAAACUGCUUUCAAAACUGUUUUUCUUGAGUAGUGCAGAGGUAGGCGGAAUUCCCGGUGUAGCGGUGGAAUGCGUAGAUAUCGGGAGGAACACCAGUGGCGAAGGCGGCCUACUGGGCACCAACUGACGCUGAGGCUCGAAAGUGUGGGUAGCAAACAGGAUUAGAUACCCUGGUAGUCCACACCGUAAACGAUGAUUACUAGGUGUUGGAGGAUUGACCCCUUCAGUGCCGCAGUUAACACAAUAAGUAAUCCACCUGGGGAGUACGACCGCAAGGUUGAAACUCAAAGGAAUUGACGGGGGCCCGCACAAGCAGUGG